RNAcentral lists this transfer RNA (64 nucleotides) under Pseudokuzicus pieli. RNAcentral's name for it is "tRNA-Arg". Lineage: Eukaryota; Metazoa; Arthropoda; Insecta; Orthoptera; Tettigoniidae. The record is from RNAcentral.
UAAGAAGCGAUAUUAUUGCAAUCAAUUUCGACUUGAUCUUAGAUGAAUUCAUCCUUAUUUGUGA